AGUUUUUGGAGGCCUCCAUCUUUCACUGUCAAUGAGUCGUAUAGUUUUGAACACUGACUAGGUGCCCAGGAUUGAUGAAAGAUAAUGGCUUUUACAUUUAUGCCAGCGAUUAUUUGGAAAGAAGAGAGGACAAAGCAGGAAGAAAGGAGAUGUGUCAUUUGGAGUUGGAAAGAAGGACAUAGAAAAGGAGACUAUGAAAUCAACCCCUCCCACAGCUCCUAGCUGUCAAUGGCCUGGAACAACUGGGACUGAGCUCCUUCAAGCCCCUUGGAUGAUGAUGAAUUGACCCAGAAACACUAACAGAUUCUGGUUUCUACCUCUGCUCACUUGGAAGUUUUGAGGCUAUUCUUUGCAAUGGAAGUAAGUGUGAUAAUGCUGCUAUUA
Long non-coding RNA from Talpa occidentalis (Iberian mole), 384 nucleotides. RefSeq lists it as uncharacterized. The transcript has 4 exons. Lineage: Eukaryota; Metazoa; Chordata; Mammalia; Eulipotyphla; Talpidae. The record is from RefSeq and is a predicted model, not a curated record.